GAUGAACGCUGGCGGCGUGCCUAAUACAUGCAAGUCGAGCGAACAGACGAGGAGCCUGCUCCUCUGACGUUAGCGGCGGACGGGUGAGUAACACGUGGAUAACCUACCUAUAAGACUGGGAUAACUUCGGGAAACCGGAGCUAAUACCGGAUAAUAUAUUGAACCGCAUGGUUCAAUAGUGAAAGACGGUUUUGCUGUCACUUAUAGAUGGAUCCGCGCCGCAUUAGCUAGUUGGUAAGGUAACGGCUUACCAAGGCAACGAUGCGUAGCCGACCUGAGAGGGUGAUCGGCCACACUGGAACUGAGACACGGUCCAGACUCCUACGGGAGGCAGCAGUAGGGAAUCUUCCGCAAUGGGCGAAAGCUUGACGGAGCAACGCCGCGUGAGUGAUGAAGGUCUUCGGAUCGUAAAACUCUGUUAUUAGGGAAGAACAAAUGUGUAAGUAACUAUGCACGUCUUGACGGUACCUAAUCAGAAAGCCGCGGCUAACUACGCG
RNAcentral lists this ribosomal RNA (497 nucleotides) under uncultured bacterium. RNAcentral describes it as "partial 16S ribosomal RNA". It matches the Rfam family "Bacterial small subunit ribosomal RNA", at positions 28 to 507 of the family's 1533-position model. The record is from RNAcentral.